AGAGAGACGAUGACAGCCAAGGGUUAGGGGCUCUCUGACGCCGCGGAGAGAAUUACUAGGAACAGAAAACGAGGCUCAUCUCAGG
This is a non-coding RNA of Caenorhabditis elegans, 85 nucleotides long. The record is from Ensembl. NCBI's taxonomy places the organism in Eukaryota, Metazoa, Nematoda, Chromadorea, Rhabditida, Rhabditidae.